GGGAGGGCAUGUGGGUUGCAGGCCACCAGGAGAACCUGGCUCAGUCAUCCUAGACUGUCACAAAUCCCCUUGUGUGGUUCAUUUUUAUUUCAUUGUUAUCAUCAUUUUCUUGGAAACCUUUCAUUCUAAGCCCGACAAGCCUGACUGGCAGAUUCACUGUCUGAUAGGUCUAGUUUUAGAUUAUAUGCUUUUUCUUAAAGCCGUCUUCAUCUGUUAACCUGCAUUCAUUUUUAAUCUUCAGGCUCCAAUCAAUAAUUAUUCACUUGACAGUUUUUGACAGUCUGCUGCUUCAUGUAGCUGUUUAGCAUGAAUUCAAAAGGCGAUUUCUCAUUCUGCACAAGUGAAGUAAAGUUGCUCUUUCAUCCUCUAAUUUGGGGGGUAUAGAAAAAUAUUCAUGUUUACUCUGCCCUCGGGAGUUUUUGGUAUAAAAAUGCUUAAUAAAUAUUUAAUAAUUUUCUCUAUAAGAAGAUCUGUAAAACAUUAACAUUUUCUGUUGCAUUUUGCUUAUGUCAGAAAUUCACUUGAGAGUACGGAUUUCUGUUCAUGGGAAUUGAUACUAUGAGGUUAGCUCCUCAACAAAUGUUUAUUGAAUACUCAUUGUGUGCAAGGCAUUAUGUUAAAUGUGAUGGGAAAUUAGUACAUGGCCCCCAGGAAAUGUAGUGGUCAUGGAAACAAAACCACUACCAAAAUGAUGAUGGGUAGAAAUACUUAAAGAAUGAUAAUCUUAUCUUGCUGCCUUAUCUGCACUUAGGAUAAUCCUACUUGGAAAUUCCACGUGAAAAGUAGGAACAAAAGUGCAUGGUUAUCUCUGUGUCUACAUUAUACAUACACGCACAUGUGAACACAUUGUAGUCAAGGGCAAACCUACCCCAAGUCUAAACAGAAGGGGGAAAUGUUCUUUUUCACCAGAAUCAUAGUGUUAGAAUUCUUGGCAGUUCAGAUGAUCUCUGCCAUAGCUGUUGGUUUACAUUUUGAUAAUUUACCAAUGAGCAUGUAAUGUUUAAUUCUUAGUUGGGUUGUGGCACCAAACACAGCAUUUCCAAUGAAACACACUGCAAAUGUGAAAGUAAGAGUUUUCCUUGGGAACGAGCAGCUCACUUACUCAUCGGUUCUUCUGGGAGUAGGAGUGCGACCUAGAGGUUAGAAGUUCUGAAACAGAAGAAGGAAAUCAGACCAUGUGACAGUGAACAGGAAAGGAGGUGCUUAAUACUCCCGCUCCUUUGCAGUGAGCUUGGCUUUUCCUCCUUGGUCUGGGGCCCUUUGGCUUCCCAUAUCCUGGCAUGAUUUAGGGAAGCAGGCACUGACCUUCUGGUGCCCUCUCUUUCAUUUUACUCCAGGCAUAUUACUAAGCAAAAUACAUUGUCAUAUUUCUGUGGCUAAAGCGUUUCAGAUUUUGGUACUGAGCCUUUGUAUUUAAGCUUAAUAGGGCAAAAGAGCUAGCAUUUUGUGGACGUCACUGACCCUUUACCACAAUUGAGGUUUUUUUUGUUUUUGUUUUUGUUUUUUUUUGCUUUUUAGGGCCCCACCUGCAGCAUAUGGAAGUUCCCUUGGCUGGGGGUCAAAUCAGAGCUACAAUUGCCGGCCUACACCACAGCCACAGCAACAUCAGAUCUGAGCUGCAUCUGCAACCUACACCACAGCUCACGGCAACACUGGAUCCUUAACCUAUUGAGUGAGGCCAGGGAUCUAACCCACAUCCUCAUGGAUACUAGUCAGUUUUGUUACCUCUGAGCCACAACAGGAACUUCCACAAUUGAGAUUUUUAUAGAAACCUUACAUAAACUUCAUUGCACCUGAUGAUGGCAGCUGAGCCGGUCACUAAUUAGGACUAUGAGUACUUGGCUGUUGCUCUUUUUGACUCUGCUCUGGGUUUUGUUUAUUUAUUUUUUAUGGCUGCACUCAUGGCAUAUGGAAGUUUUCUGGGCCAGGGAUUGAAUCUGAGCCACAACUGUGAUUUACGCUGCAGCUGUAGCAAUCCUAGAUUGUUUAACCUGCUCUACUGGGCUGGGGAUCAAACCUGAGUCUCUGUGGUGACCCAAGCCACUGCAGUCAGGUUCUUAACCCACUGCACCACAGUGGGAACUCCUGCUCUGGAUUUUAGCUUAUUUCAUUAAAUCUGCUGCUGAUUUUCAUUGUCUGCACGCACAUGGUUGCAAAUGUAACUCUCUCCUGAAGCAGCCAGUGCUUUGGCUCCAUUGUCCUGUAAAGGCUGGGGAAAUCAGUUGAAAAGAAGCUAAGGUAGAAGUGGUGUGUAAGCCACGCUGUCAGGCUUGCUCUCCAUGCGCUCACCACCUUCAGGCCCUCAAGCCCAGAGAUGGCUUCAGGUCUGUGCCUAGGGCUGGGUCACACAGACUCGGAGAAUUAAGUGACAUCUGAGCCAGAGCUGGCACCGUUAUACCGACUUGCUAAUAAUUCACAAUGAAUCAUCACUGAUAGAUCCUCAGGCCCCUGCGAUUAGCACAUGCUCUUUGUCAAGCUACCUGGGAAUGUAGAUAAUACUUGGAAGCUCCUCUGUUGAUUGAUUCACCUUGAGAAAUUGCUGCUCUCUGGAUGCUGGUAGUGCAUGGGUCAUAGCACCCAAGUGUCCUCAAGAAACGCUUUAUAGGGACUUGAGAGAAGGGUAUCUUUCUUUCUUUCUUUCUUUCUUUCUUUCUUUCUUUCUUUCUUUCCUUUUUUUUUUUUUUUCUUGUCUUUGUGUCUUUUCUAUGGCCGCAGCCAUGGCAUAUGCAGAUUCCCAGGCUAGGGGUCUAAUCGGAACUGCAUUCGCCAGCCUACACCAUAGCCACAGCUACGCAGGAUCCGAGCCGCGUCUGCGGCCUACACCACAGCUCAUGGGAACGCCGGAUCCUCAACCCACUGAGCAAGGCCAGGGAUCAAACCCGCAACCUCAUGGUCCCUAGUCGGAUUUGUUGACCACUGAGCCAUGACGGGAACUCCAAGGGUAUUUUUGUAGUGGGACCAAACACCCUUCAGCAUUGGCUAUAGUUAUCUCACUAGGGCGGUCUAGACAGUGAAGCUACUUUCUAACUCCCAACAGCUGUGACACUGUCCAUAUUCACUUUAGUAUCUGUAUUUCCCUACCUGAGCCAGCCCAGGCCCCCUUUUGAAGACAUAAUCUAUUCUUAAAUAUAGAUGAAGUAUAGUUCACAGGUAUUGGCUGGGGCAGGGGGCAGCAGCGGUGGUGGUGGUGGUACUUUGCUUUCUCCAUUCAUGUUGUAGGUUCACAUUCUAAUCCCUGGAGUUUUUGUUCUUACCAUAAACCUCUGACUAGGCAAUCUCUUGCCCCAUUUCCAAGUUCCUGGUGGGGCGUAGUGGUGUCAAUCUUCUUAUACUCCUCACUGUACUCUUUCUAAGACCCUUGGACACUUUAAUAAACGUCUCAGGAAUUAUACCUUCAGAGCAGGCACCGUGACCUGCUGAGCAAUAUGGAGGCAUUCGUCCAGAGCAAGAGCAGGCAAACCACAUUGGCCUGCUGCCUGUUUUUGUCAAUAAAGUUUUAUUGGAACACAGCCAUGUCCAUUCAUUUAUCUAGUGUCUGGGGGUGCUUUCGCAGUACAACCACAGGCCUGAGUUGAGUAGUUGCAAAAGGGAUCGUGAGCCAACAAAGCCUGAAAUUAUUUACUCUUGGGUGCAUUUCAGAAAGCAUUUGCCAACCUCGGUCUAUAGAAUUUGCAAGUCAUAGAAUUGCAGCAAGUAAGAACUAGAAGCCCGCCCCCCCCCCCCCCCCCCGCCAAAUUCAGUGAGCACAUGGAGGAUUAGAGAAAGAAUGAGACUUGCAUAAAGGUCACGGAGGUGCUUAGUUGGAGAGCCAGAACCUGAACUCAGAUUUUCCAAUUCCUGGGGUAAAGACUGGCCUCCUGCUUUUGGAGGUGGGGUAUUGUGAGUUUUACGGUUUACAGAUGAUCCACCAUUACAACAUACUGAAAUAAAGCUUCUUGAGUGGCAGGAGCUAUUUUCCAUACUGACUUCGCCAGCUAAGGUCACCAGCCAGGCAUCUACCAGACCCUAAGGGCUAGGGACACUGAUUAAUAAAUAGCAUCCUUUCUCUCAGGAAAUGUGGAUGAGAGAAAGAGUCAGGCAUUUGCACAUCCUUUCAUUUGCAGUGUGUUAAAUGUCAUCUUAGGGCCACGGUCAUGUGAAAGGAAGGAUGUGUUUGUUCAGCCGUGAGGGGUAGGGGGGUUGUCCGAUGUGGCUCUACAGAGUUGGAGACGUUUGAGUUGGGUCUCAAAAGGAUGGAGUCCUUCAGGCAGACAUUUGCAAAUGGACGUGGCUUGGGGGCCUGUAGGCCUGAAGUCCAGUAGUUUGGGAAUACUUGAUGACCCACAGCCAGAGGUGUAGGGUAUGUGGCAAGGGUGGGACAAGAAACCCAGCUGGAAAUGAAGGUUGGAUGCAAAUUGUGGAGCCCUUGGCGUUCAUGAGAAAGACUUUCGUUUACAUUCUGGAGGUUUCUCACCUAUAGAUCUCAGAGCCCAUGAGAGAUUACCGUUCUUAUACAGGAAGGCCUCUCUAUCCACAUGCAUGGGAAACAUUGUCCAUAGAUUUCAUACUAUCACUAACAGGCGUUCCCACUGUGGCUCAGCCACCUAAGGACCCAACGUUGUCUCUUGAGAAGGUGGGUUGGAUCCCUGGUCUUGCUCAGUGGGUUAAAGAGCUAGCAUUGCCACAAGCUACAGCAUAGGUCACAGGUGGGCUUGGAUCCAGUGUUGCUGUGGCUGAGGCAUAGGCCUGCAGGUGCAGCUCCAAUUCGGCCCCUAGCCCAGGGACUUCCACGUGCCACAAGUACAGGUGUACAAUAAACAAAUAAAUAAAAAGAUGUGGUACAUAUAUAUAUAUACAAUGAAAUACUACUCAGCCCUAAACAAGAACAAAAUAAUGCCAUUCGCAGCAACACAGAGGCAACUAGAGAUUCUCAUACUAAGUGCAGUAAAUCAGAGACAAAUACCACAUGCUCUCACUUAUAUGUGGAAGCUAAAGUCUGGCACAGAUGAGCCUAUCGACGAAUCAGAAGCAGAUUCACGGACAUAGAGAAGAGACUCAUGGUUGCCAAGGGGG
Molecule: long non-coding RNA, 5052 nt
Filed under: Sus scrofa (pig)
Lineage: Eukaryota; Metazoa; Chordata; Mammalia; Artiodactyla; Suidae
Description: lncRNA (ENSSSCG00000054733.1)
Source: RNAcentral